AACGAACGCUGGCGGCAUGCCUAACACAUGCAAGUCGAACGAAGCCUUCGGGCUUAGUGGCGCACGGGUGCGUAACGCGUGGGAAUCUGCCCUUGGGUUCGGAAUAACAGUUAGAAAUGACUGCUAAUACCGAAUGAUGUCUUCGGACCAAAGAUUUAUCGCCCAAGGAUGAGCCCGCGUCGGAUUAGCUAGUUGGUGAGGUAAAGGCUCACCAAGGCGACGACCCGUAGCUGGUCUGAGAGGAUGAUCAGCCACACUGGGACUGAGACACGGCCCAGACUCCUACGGGAGGCAGCAGUGGGGAAUAUUGGACAAUGGGCGAAAGCUUGACGCAGCGACGCCGCGUGGGUGAUGAAGGCCUCGGUCGUAAGACCGUCGUCGCACGGGAAGGAAG
This 394-nucleotide ribosomal RNA is filed under the name uncultured bacterium. RNAcentral describes it as "bacterial SSU rRNA". It matches the Rfam family "Bacterial small subunit ribosomal RNA", at positions 29 to 451 of the family's 1533-position model. The record is from RNAcentral.